UACGUAGGGGGCAAGCGUUGUCCGGAUUUAUUGGGCGUAAAGAGCGUGUAGGCGGCCGUACAGGUCAGCUGUGAAAACUCGAGGCUCAACCUCGAGACGUCGGUUGAAACCGUACGGCUAGAGUCCGGAAGAGGGGACUGGAAUUCCCGGUGUAGCGGUGGAAUGCGCAGAUAUCGGGAGGAACACCCGUGGCGAAGGCGGGUCCCUGGGACGGUACUGACGCUGAGACGCGAAAGCGUGGGGAGCGAACAGG
RNAcentral lists this ribosomal RNA (253 nucleotides) under uncultured bacterium. RNAcentral's name for it is "partial 16S ribosomal RNA". It matches the Rfam family "Bacterial small subunit ribosomal RNA", at positions 524 to 776 of the family's 1533-position model. The record is from RNAcentral.